This 465-nucleotide ribosomal RNA is filed under the name Vreelandella stevensii. RNAcentral describes it as "partial 16S ribosomal RNA". It matches the Rfam family "Bacterial small subunit ribosomal RNA", at positions 338 to 795 of the family's 1533-position model. The record is from RNAcentral. Lineage: Bacteria; Pseudomonadati; Pseudomonadota; Gammaproteobacteria; Oceanospirillales; Halomonadaceae.
CCUACGGGGGGCUGCAGUGGGGAAUAUUGGACAAUGGGGGGAACCCUGAUCCAGCCAUGCCGCGUGUGUGAAGAAGGCCCUCGGGUUGUAAAGCACUUUCAGUGAGGAAGAACGCCUGAUGGUUAAUACCCAUCAGGAAUGACAUCACUCACAGAAGAAGCACCGGCUAACUCCGUGCCAGCAGCCGCGGUAAUACGGAGGGUGCGAGCGUUAAUCGGAAUUACUGGGCGUAAAGCGCGCGUAGGUGGCUUGAUAAGCCGGUUGUGAAAGCCCCGGGCUCAACCUGGGAACGGCAUCCGGAACUGGCAAGCUAGAGUGCAGUAGAGGAAGGUAGAAUUCCCGGUGUAGCGGUGAAAUGCGUAGAGAUCGGGAGGAAUACCAGUGGCGAAGGCGGCCUUCUGGACUGACACUGACACUGAGGUGCGAAAGCGUGGGUAGCAAACAGGAUUAGAUACCCCAGUAGUC